GAAAAAAAAAAAAAAUUUUUUUUUAUUUUAUCUUUUUAUCUUUUAAAUUUUUGGUCUUAUUUUUAAUCGAAGGGCAGAAAAUUGUCACGAAGAAAAGGCGCGAUUUUGAACAGGCCAAAAAAAAAAUUAAAAAAAAUUAAAAAAAAAAAUUUUUAAUUUAAUUUUUUUUAAUA
RNAcentral lists this non-coding RNA (173 nucleotides) under uncultured eukaryote. The record is from RNAcentral.